AUUGAACGCUGGCGGCAUGCCUAACACAUGCAAGUCGAACGGCAGCACAGCAGUAGCAAUACUGUGGGUGGCGAGUGGCGGACGGGUGAGGAAUACGUCGGAAUCUGCCCAGUCGUGGGGGAUAACUAGCCGAAAGGUUAGCUAAUACCGCAUACGACCGAGAGGUGAAAGCGGGGGACCGCAAGGCCUCGCGCGAUUGGAUGAGCCGACGUCGGAUUAGCUAGUUGGCGGGGUAAAGGCCCACCAAGGCGACGAUCCGUAGCUGGUCUGAGAGGAUGAUCAGCCACACUGGAACUGAGACACGGUCCAGACUCCUACGGGAGGCAGCAGUGGGGAAUAUUGGACAAUGGGCGCAAGCCUGAUCCAGCAAUGCCGCGUGUGUGAAGAAGGCCUC
Molecule: ribosomal RNA, 394 nt
Filed under: uncultured bacterium
Lineage: Bacteria
Description: bacterial SSU rRNA
Rfam family: Bacterial small subunit ribosomal RNA
Source: RNAcentral